RNAcentral lists this long non-coding RNA (200 nucleotides) under Homo sapiens (human). RNAcentral describes it as "HSALNT0161547". Lineage: Eukaryota; Metazoa; Chordata; Mammalia; Primates; Hominidae. The record is from RNAcentral.
UCCUUACAUUUAUAGGGUUUCUCCCCUGUGUGCAUUCUCUGAUGUACUGUGAGGUGUGACUUCUGGGAAAAGGCUUUCCCACACUCCUUACACUCAUAGGGUUUCUCCCCUGUGUGUGUUUUCUGAUGUUCUGUGAGAUGUGGUUUCUGGUAGAAGGAUUUUUCACACUGAUUACAUUCAUAGGGUUUCUCUCCUGCAUG